GGCUGUCUGGUCAUCGUCUGCAGAGGAGCGGACUAAACCCAAACCCCAUUCAGGCGAGUCUCACUGAUUGUGAGACUCGCCUCCAUGAGAUGAAUGGCCUGAGCAGCCAGGCUGAAGAUGUCGUGUAGGGGGACCUCAUUCCCAGCAGACAAGUCUUCCAUCCCUUCAAGGUGUGGGACUCUCCUCCGAAUCUGUGGCCACUGGAAUCCCAUCCUCCCAGCAGUUCGGAAGAAGCCCACCUGAAAAUGACACGACACUUGUUCUAGUCCUCCUAAGAAAACUCAACUUCUGCUUCACAAACAACUUUGUCCUGGGGCUGAAAGGUAAAUGAUACUUAUCAUGGAAUUAUUAUCAACUACCCUCACUUUUUCCUCUGUAAGCUGUUACCUAUCACAGUAUUUUUGAGUUUGUCAUUGCUUCCAUGGUUGAGUUGAAUAGAGUCACUGAAGAAUGUUCACUUAAAAGCACUCUUGCAGAAAUGAAAGUGACACCACCAAUCUAGUGAACAACUGGCUGAGCAAGGAUUGGAUCAUUCCGCUCUAAAAGCUGCUCAGCCGAUCCUUAAAAUCAGGCAAAAGCACAUCUCUUCCAUUUGACUUAUUGGACUGGUUUGGGCUUCUUGAAAAAGCUGCUUCUUAAGACCUCGCUCUGAUAGAUUUUGGUCAUUGAAACUCUCUGGAAGGGUUGUCUAAACCACAUUUCCCAGAUAAAUACAGUCCACAAGAGGACCAGUCUUGGACAAUUCCAUGCACCAACCUUUCUUGAGUUGUUAUGCUCCCCCUUUUUUUCUUACGCACUUCAGGAUUGAAAUGCUUCCAAAUCUCAAACAUCUCUCUCACCCUAUAAAACAAAACAAAAAGACAAAACAUUGAGUCUCCGGCUCAAAUGGCUAUUCAACCACUCCCACCCUCCCCAUUCUGAUACUCAUACAUUUACCAAACUUCUCCUCCUCAUUGAACUCUUCCAGGACAAGAUUGUCUGAAGGGAAGAGAAGAGAAAAGAUUUGAUUUUCUUAUUUCAAUUGACUAAGAGAAGAGGUAAGGAGGGACUUGUCCAUGUUGAAUAAAUGAGGAGGGUCUAAUGGGUCACUUUUUGCACUGAGCAUCCCAAAGCGGAAGGCAAGCAUGGCUUUCCAGACCUCGCAGUUUAGCUGCAAGGACUUUCCCAAGAAGAACCAUGUUUGCCCACGUGAGUGGGGUUGGGAGUUUGAGACAUGCCCACUCUGGAGGCCUGCCACAGAGAGAUCAGAGCAAAACUGGUGCUCCUUGGAGGAAUGAUGGCCUUUGUUGCCCAGGCCCAUUCUGGGAUUCCAAGGAGACAGUUCUGCCUUCCCCACUUCCCUGGAAAUUGGCAUUACCUUUGACGGUGCUUUUGAUCAAACAAUGAGUCAACUCAUCUUCAAUGCUAGAGAGAUCCUUCCAUGUGGCCAGCUGUAGAAAUAGAGAUGGACAUGUUUCUUUCAUGUCAAUCUGACACCAUAUCCAAAGCAGCUAAGAAUUUAAGAUGAUCCAGUUAGGUACAAAGUUGAGGAUUCCCAAAGAUAGAGUGUGGCUCUUCUGGGCACUGGGCAGCCAGAAGAGGCAUGGGGUGGGGAGUGGGGGCGGGUGACAUCUCUGUCCUCUUCCUCGGUGAGCCCCAGUGGAAACAGCUCCUCUCCAGCAAGUGUGCUGCCAGGCAGCCCACGUGUGAACAGAGACCAGUUGGAGGUCCUUCUGAACCUGGAACCUGACAAGGGGUCCCAGAGGAUGCUGAAGCAGAGCCAAGCCAUGUCCACAGCAGGGUACUUACUUCUAAGUUGGGCAGUCUGCCCACGUGCAUCAGAGCAUAGCCGUAGGCUUCUUGGCCGAGAGCCUACAGCCAGGGCUCCUCCGCAUUGAUGUACCUGUGGAGCUCCUGUGGGUUGAAAUGGCAGCUCAGAGUCAUUGAACUGGCCUAAAUCAUCCCUUGUCAUGCUACUGAGAGCUAAGCCCUGAAGGAAUUUGCCCCACUGCAGGAAGAUCCCUUGAUUGCUGUCCCAAAGGAAUCUAAGGAUGACCUAAUUCCAUAUAAAUAUCCCCCCAAAUUAAGUUGACAAGAUCUUCAAUAUUUCUGAAGGUUGCUUAUGGGAGUGAUGGUUUUCUCUGUCUUCUCAGUCAGUUUGCUUCUAAUAGGGAAGUGACCUAGACAUAUCUUCAACAAACAAAGAGGAUGGGGUCUGCUGUCUCUUUCUGUCAGGCCUCGUUUGGAUGUCGGAGAGGAUGAAGACAGAAGCCCCAUUCACACCUUAUGUUCCACACUUGAACCACGAGUGGACAAUGCACAGGUGCAGAUCUGGACACAGGGACAGCAAUUCAUACAUGAUGUUGAAUACAGGCACUGCUUGACACUUCCUCUCUGUACCAGGCCUGUGAGGGGCCCGUGCCUGGUUUCUCUUUGAAAAGGAAUGCAACUACAGUCAUGCACAGAAAAUCACGUACCAGUGUUCAGACACCUGCACACAUGUACUACCUAAUGUCUCGAUAGGGCUCUCACUGCACUUACCUUCAAGAAGCCGAUUGUGUUGUGGACAGAGGGGGCCUCCUCCAGCAGCCCCCCGAGCAUAUUCUUAAAGGAUUUCAUGUUCUCCUUCUAGGGUGGAAAGAGAAGAUCAGUCAUAAGUAGGAGACACAACCGGUCUUGAGCAUACAACAUUGAAAAAAUCACUCGUACUGAUGGUGGUAUCACGUCUUCUUCGCAAGAGAAAAAGUGCAGUACGAAUUUACCUGGGUCCCUGGGUCCAGUUGGUUCACCCUGGAUACCGCCACGUUCAGGACUGCUGCCUUUAGAUUGAAGGGCAUAGCCAGCUUCAUUUUGCUGGAGGGAGAAAGAUUAGAUUUCGUCGUGUGAGGAGGGCUGGUCAUCCAGCCAAUUGAAGCUCAUCUAGCGAAGAGGAACAUGGUAACCCAGCAAGCGUAAAAAAUGACGACAGGUCUGUGAUGGUUUCGCUUCUUUUUUUCAAAAAUGACCAAUCCCAGUCUGUGGAGGCCCUGAUUUGUAAAAGGCCGUAGUACUUAACAAGAUUUUUUUAUAAAACAAAAACCUUCACAUUAAUGGCCAUCUUUUGGAAAAGGGGAGAUCCAGUUACAGAUCUUGCCUGGUUUGCCCCUGCCCUUCCCUGACACAAUCCCCUCCUAUUUAAUCCCUGUGGGCUAUAAGCAUACGUGAGGUAUGUGAUGGUGUCCAUAGUGAACUUCAGAAGGAACCCAGGGUACGGACGUUUCAUUAUGUCCUCCAUAAUUUCCUGGCAGAGAUCAAAGAGCAGAAGAGAGUUGGUCAGUACCCACGGACUUCCUUGGGAUAGCUGCAUCCCCAAACACACACUUUUGACUGAGCCUGCACUUGGGCAUUCUCUUCCAUUCUCUGCAGCAUCUCACUCACCAGUAUGGUGUCCACGGCCUCAUUCUUCUCAUAGGAGAGCAUUUCACAUCCCAACGACUUGGCAUCUUUAACACUCUCCAUAACAGAGGACAAGAACUGGGUCUAGCAGAAGAUGACCUGAAAAUUAGAAGCACUGAACUGUUAGUGAUGGAAGGACUCUUCGUGCCUUCCUGGAAAUGGAGUGGGCACCCUUACUUGGUGGGCUGCUCUCAAGUCCUUUCUUGGGACCCCAAACCCUCCAUGGAAUAUUCUGCAGCUGCUGCUUCUCAGGGAGACUGGAGAACUGGGGAAGGGAUCAGAGCAGAGAGUAGAUGCUCCCAGAUGGGGCAAAUGCCUCUCACAGAAAUGUCCUGGGCUCUGUGGAAGAAGGCCCUCUACACAAUGGUUCCCUACCUCAGUUCUGUCCAUUUCCUCCACUACAGUUGUCAGACCUGGAAUGGAAGAAGAAUGGGAAGGGAGGGGGGAUUCAGGACUUGAAUUCCCAUGAGGAAUUAACCAACGGGAAUUCCCUUUGUAGGAAUUCAGGCUGGCUCCCAGGCUCCCAAGCACCAGCUAUCCCACCCUCCCCAAAGAGUCACCCCCAGUCCCAACCAUACCCCAGGAGCCUGGGGCACCUCCUCAGGAAUGGUGACUCCGGAUACUGCCGGGGACCCCCUUGCGGGAGUUGGAGGUGGCGCUGGAGUUGGCUCAAUUUCUGUUUAAAGAACCUCCCUCUGGGGGGCUUGCCCUUGGCAGAGUCACUGGUGGGGGAGGUCUUAAAGAGCCGCCUGCAGCAACAGCAGACUCUUCGCAGCCUAGAAGAGAGCAGGGAGAAGGUGAGAAAGCGACCCUUAAGCAGACAUUGGCAGGAGAGGGAGCCAAUGGGGCAGGGAAGGAUUGCAGACCGCAAUACAGGUAGCCCAGUAGGCUUCAAGGUGGUGCACCGUCCUUCUUCUGGCUGAGGAAAUGGGUAGAGAUAGCUGCCGGAAAUGGGUAGAGAUAGCUGCCCCAACAACAUAUGGGGUGAAGUUCUGUUCAGCCAAGCCCAGCCAGAUUAUGUUAGAGCUGUGAAAGCUGCAGAAAAGGGCCAUGAAAGAGCUGAGGGGUGGAACACGGAGGCAGAAUUACAGGCUCCGAUGGCCCUGCCAGGGACACCAGGCUUCUGGACUUAGAAGUGGUGCUGCUGGUGCCGGACUGCGCACUCCUAGGUGCUCCAGCCCGCUUCUCUUGGUUGUGACCCAGCCUCCUCCUCUGGGUGCUCCAGCCCCCUCCUCCAAGUUGCGACCCAGCCUCCUAGGUGCUCCAGCCCCCUCCUCCUGGUUGCAACCCAGCCUCCUCCUCUAGGUGAUCCAGACCCCUCCUCUUGGUUGGACCCAGCCUGCUCCUCUAGGUGAUCCAGACCCCUCCUCAUGGUUUGGACCCAGCCUGCUCCUCUAGGUGAUCCAGACCCCUUCUCCUGGUUGUUGUGACCCAGUCUCCUCCUCUAGGUGCUCCAGACCCUUCCUUCUGGUUGCAACACAGCCUCUUCCCCUUGGCUUGCCUAACACAUUCUACCAGGUCAUGUCUCCACCUGGGCAGCUGGUCAAGGGUGACAGCUUUUCCUUUCACAUAGACAGAAUGGGACAUGCCAUGCCAAUGCAACCAAGAGGUUUGCCAUGCCCAUGCACCCAAGAGGUUGCUGAGCCUAUCCACCACUGCAGUCCUUAGCCAACCUGCCGUGGACUGGAGCUUGCUCCUUGCGAGGAGGAGAGUGGUGGGCAAAGCCUGGUUCAGCACUGCCUUCUUGCCACACAACAAAGAACAGCGCGAGUGUUGAGACAACCUUGGAAAUGAGGUUCCAGUCUGCAUUGGAUGGAUCACACUCAUCCAAGCCACUCCGCCUUGCCAGGCUGCGGAUGGCCACUGGCUCCUGCAGGUGCUUGAGCAACAGAAAGGUGGAGUUCCACCAGGACGGAACCUCCUGAGGGAGCAGGUAUUCGCCUUCAGCAUGUGCGAAGCCUUCUUACCCUGGUGGAAAUGGCCGGCUAUCUUGUGGCACUUCUCCUUGGGAGCAGCAGGGCCAGGCCCACAGCCAGGGGGUGUCCCAGGGUGUACAUUGAAGCUGGCAUAUGGCCGGCUGUGGCCGCGUAGCUGCUGGGGGACAUUUGGAAGCCCCCCACUGGCAAAGGACCGGACUUUGGACCCGAUCUCCAGCCCAAAGAACACUUCCGCAUACAUUAGGAAUAGAGGCAGAGAGUGUAGGAUUGCCUCCUUGUUCUCUCACUCUAUCAAUCUCUGCUCUGAGUUUCAUGUGAGGGGCUGAUUCUCUUGGGGCACUCCCUUCUUCUUUGUCUACUUUUCCUUCCUUCCUUCCCUCCCCAUGAAGGAAGUACAAGUUGCAGGCUUUUUAUCUAAGUUUGUAACUUGUUUAAAACAAACUGUUUUCGACCUUAAAAAACACUUUCUCCAGACCUCUACUCUGAGCUCAUCCAACUGGGUUACUCUGCUAAAGAAGGGGUUGAUUCAAAUUCCCCCCUACAAUUGGGACAUCUGUGAAACAUGUCACAAUAGGCAUGUUCACACCUGGUUCCCUUCCUGAUUGGGCAGGCUGGCGGGCGGGUGGGGGACUCUAGUCAGACCUGGCCAGGAAGAGAGGGAGAAAGGCAAAGCUGUUAUGUAAUCCUACUUACUUUGCGAAGAAGUCUUUCCUCAUCUUCUCCUCCAUCUCCCUCCCUGUUUAAUUCUUUCCCCCUGACUAACUAUCUCUCCUGUUACUAAAAGCUGACUGUCCUCCCCCCCUCGAUCCCUCCCAAAACCACCCCAAACAACAAACCAAAAAACCCCACUAACACUAACUGUAACACUGAAUAAAUAAAUAAAUUGAUAAAAAAAAAAAAUAAAGAAAUAGAUGAAUAAAUAGAUGGAUAAAUAGAUGCAUGGAUGGAUGGAUGGAUAAAUAAAUAAAUGUGACACAAAGACAGACAAGACAAGAGAGACACACACACACAAACACUCUCAGACAAAGACAGAAACUGACACAGACACGGACUCUCUAACACUCUCUUUCCUCUCUAUCUCUCCAGCUCCUCUCCACCUUGCCUAACUCUCCCACAAAGAGCAGCUGAGCCCUGGAGGUGUCAUGAAAGAGGAUGUGUCAUAAGCCUCAACAAUGGCCAUUGGUCCUCUUGCCUCUAGAGGUUGCUUCAGGACUUAUUUUUAUUUUAUUUAUUAAAACAUUUUUAUACCGCCCAAAACUUACAUCUCUGGGCAGUUUACAACAGAAUAAAAACAAAGUAAAACAUUUGUUAAGGCAGAAAUGGGGGGGGGAGAGACACACACACUACAACAAUUAAAAAUUUUUCAAAACGCCGCAUCAAAGCCAUUAAUUAAAAGCCUGGGUGAAGAAAUGUGUUUUUAAAGACUUUUAAAAAGCUGUCAGAGAAGGAGAGGCUCUUAUUUCACUAGGGAGUGCAUUCCAAAGUCUCGGGGCAGCAGCAGAGAAAGCCCGUCCCUGAGUGGCCACCAGACGAGCUGGUGGCAGCUGCAGACGGACCUCUCCAGCAGAUCUCAGUGGGUGGUGGGGUUCAUGUAGAAGAAGGCGUUCCCUUAAAUACUCAGGGCUUUAUAGGUUAUAACCAGCAACUUGUAUUUUGCCCGGAAACAUAUCGGCAGCCACUGUAGCUCCUUCAAUACAGGAGUUAUAUGGUCUCUCCAAGAUGACCCAGAGACCAGCCUGGCUGCCGCAUUCUGGACAAGCUGUAGUUUCCAGACUACAUACAAGGGCAGCCCCACAUAGAGCGCAUUACAGUAAUCCAGUCCGGAGGUUACCAGCAGAUGUACCACUGUUUUGAGGUCAUUCACCUCGAGAAACAGAUGCAGCUGGUGUAUCAGCCGAAGCUGAUAGAAGGCACUUCUGGCCACCACCUCAACCUGGGACACCAGGGAGAGGCUCAGAUCCAGAAGCACCCCUAGACGGCAUACCUGUUCCUUCUGGGGAAGUGUGGCCCCCAUCCAGAACAGGCAGAUCAAAAUAAUCUCUUGAGUUCCAACCCCGGACAAUGAGUACCUCCAUCUUAGCCAGAUUCAGUCUCAGUUUGUUAUCCAUCAUCCAGCCCAUCACCGACUCCAGGCAGGCAUUUAGGGAGGUUAUGCCCUCUCCCGAUGAUGCUGACAUGGAGAAAUAGAUUUGGGUGUCAUCAGCAUACUGGUAGCACCCUGCACCAAAUCUCCUGAUGAUCUCUCCCAGCGGUUUCAUGUAGAUAUUAAACAACAUUGGAGACAAUAUGGAGCCCUGGGGAACACCAUACAAAAGUUCAGAUUUUGAGGAACAGCAGUCUCCAAGGGAUACCAUCUGGAACCUGCCUGAGAGGUAGGAGCGGAACCACUGCAAAGCCAUGCCUCCAACUCCCAACCCCCUCAGACGCUCCAGAAGGAUACUGUGGUCGAUAGUAUCGAAAGCCGCCGAGAGGUCCAGAAGGACCAACAGAGUCACACUUCCUCUGUCAAUUCCCAAUGGAGAUCAUCCAUCAGGCCGACCAAGGCAGUCUCCACCCCAUAGACAGCCCAAAAGCCAGUUUGAAAUGGGUCAAGAUAAUCAGUUUCAUCCAAGACUGUCUGGAGCUGUGAGGCCACCACCCUCUCAAUUGCCUUGCCCAGCCACGGAAGGUUGGAUACAGGCCUGUAGUUGUUCAAGUCUGAUGGAUCCAGGGUAGGCUUCUUCAGAAGUGGUCUAAUAACUGCCUCCUUAAGACAGGGAUGCAUCCUACCUUCCCUCAGAGAUGCAUUUAUAAUCUCUACCAGGCCUUCUACAACAACCCCCCGCCAGAUAAUAUAAGCCAUGUCGGACAAGGGUCAAGAGAACAGGUGGUAGGCCGCACCAUUCCAAUCAGCUUGUCCACAUCCUGAGGCGUCAAACUGGAACUGAUCCAACCUAAUCAUACAAGAGGAGUCGCUGGACACCUCCACAUCAGACACUGAGGUAAUUGUGGAGACAGAGUCUAAGUCGGCCCGAAUACGAGAGAUGUUUUCCACAAAGAAUUCAUUAAACACAUCACAGCGGGUAAUCGAUGGUUCCAGAUUCUGAUUCAAGGGAGAAGGGGCACUCACUAGCCCUCUCACAAGCCUGAACAACUCCGCUGGAUGUGAACUUGCAGAUGCAAUACGGGCAGAAAAGAAUUGCUUCCUUACUGCACGUAUUGCCUGAGCAUAGGUCUUCAAAUGAGCUCUAUGUUGCGAUCUGUCGGAUUCAAGCCGAGUCUUUCUCCACUUGCGCUCCAGACAUCUACCUCGCCGCUUCAGCCCCCGUAGUUCUUCUGUAUACCAAGGGGCCAAUUUUGAAGCAGGUCAGAGAGAACGCUUAGGAGCAAUCAUGUCUACUGCCCCAGUGAGUUUGCUGUUCCAAUUCUCCACCAGGGCAUCAACAGGAUCACCAGCAGAGCCAACACUAAAUCCCUCCAAGGCUUCUUGAAAUCCUAUUAGCUCCAAUAACCUUCUUGGGCGGAUCAUCCUAAUAGGUCCCUCGCCCCUGCGAAGGUGGGAAGUGAUUGUGAGUCCGACCUUAACCAGAUGGUGGUCCGUCCAUGACAAUGGGGAAAUCACAGGAUUCCCCACCCACGGAACACCACCCUGAUCAGAGUGAAAGACCAAAUCAAGCGUGUGACCAGCAAUGUGUGUCGGCCCCGAGACCACUUGGGAUAGGCCCAUAGUCAUCAUGGCCGCUAUGAACUCCUGAGCCACCCCGGACAAAUUGGUCCCAAAGUGAACAUUGAAGUCCCCCAGCACCACAAGCCUGGGGGACUCCAACACCAAGUCCGAGAUCAAGUCUUUCAGCUCAGUUAGGGACCCUGUUGAGCGGCUGGGCGAUCGGUACACCAACAGAAGUCCCAGUCUAUCCCUGGUCCCCAGACUUAAGUACACACAUUCGAUAUGGUCUGACACUCUAACAGGGAUCCUGGUAAGGGAAAGGUUAUUCUUAUAGACCACAAUAACUCCACAUCCCCACCCAUGGUCCCUCACCCGCUCCUCAACAGAGUACUCUGGAGGAAGAAGCUGGGACCACACUGGACCCCCAGCCAGGUCUCUGUAAUAUAUACCGUCGGCACCUUCAUCUAGAAUCAAAUCAUGGAUGGUUUCUGAUUUGUUCUGGACAAACCUGGCAUUACAGAGGAGCAAGGUGAGGUUCCAAGGAUGAUCGGCACUGCUCCCCAAAGUCAAAGAGCUGGCAGGACAGCCGGAAGGGGAAACAGCUAUUAGAUUUCCAAGUCCCCUUCCCCUGUAACGGCCCACUGACUUGCCAACGUUACUUCUUCUGUUCCCCACCAUGACCAGAAUGGCCGCCCCACAGUCAGUGGACAUGCCUCCCGUCUUCCCAUCUCCAGUUAAGCCCAGACACAUUCUAAGAUUGUCUCACCCAGGACAAAUUAAAACAGAAGCUCCACUAUUAAAUCCCCCCCAUACAAAUACCUAGGCCAAGAGACCUGGCCCUCACCCUCACUGUCCCCCAAAGUGGCUCCCCCAAAGGGGUGACUCCCUUUGGUGUCGCCCCUUAGGUGGUGGGCCCGCCGCCACUGGCAGAAGCCUAUAUAGCCCUGAGCAGGCAGCUCUAGGCAGCUGGAAUGCAGGAAACUGCCAAGUCACCCUCCUCCCUGGCCCCAAUCCUGAAAGGCCUCACCUCAGCACAGCAACCAGUCCUGGGGGGAAGACAACAGACGGGGGGGGGGCAGCAGGACAAGCAAACAGGCAGGCACCCAGUCUCACACCCUGGGGUCUACCUGGAAGCAGAUGUUGUCUCUCCUCUCUCCUGCAAGCUUCUCUUGGAGGCAUCCCCUGCCAACCCAGCAAAGAGGAACCCUUUCAAAGGGCUGAUUCUCUUCAUUGAGCAGAGGCGGAGGAGCAGUUGGCUCUACCCAUCCCCUGUCUAGUAACCCUCCAGUGGUGCUUUCUAGUGUCUAUCUUAGGUUUCUCUUUAGACUGUGAGCCUUUGGGGACAGGGAGCCAUCUUUCUUCCUUUAAACUUACUCCACGUAAACUGCUUUGGAAAUUUGUGUCGAAAAGCAAUAUAUAAAUAAUAGUAGUAGUAGUAGUAGUAGUAGUAGUAGUAGUAGUAGUAGUAGAAAUUCUUCCAAACCUCACCCUUCCUGUUCAUAUGUCUGUUUAUCUGAGAAAUCAGAGGACUCUCUUCCCCACCAUGUUUAAAGUGACACCACCACAGGCCCCUCAGAGCAGACACCUCCACCUCCAUCCACUGCCAUUCAGCCACCUUGGUUGCUGGGAUGUGCUCUUGUUUCAGCAAGACAUGGGGACUCAUUCUUCAGCGCAAUCCUGACACUGAUUCACGUCCAGAGCUGUAUCUAGGGAAAAUAGUGCCUAGGGCAAGCACUGAAAUUGCGCCCCUGUCCAAACAGGAAUGAUGGGACUUGUAGUCAACAAUAUCUGGAAAUCCCUGUUAAAAGGAACAUUGUAUCAUCUAGACAUAGUUGUUGAUCAAAACCGGAAAACACGAGCCAUCUUUGUAAAAGACUUAGAACAACAGUCAGGAGUUCUGUGAGGAUUCCAAGUGUCAUUUUCUCUGUCUCAUAUCAUGCUUUUUAAAAAACAUGACUUUGUCCUAGACUAGAGGAUCACUUGUAUCAUCAGCUAAACGAAAUUUACAAGAAGGAUCUUAAAGUUGGAUUUGAGGAUCAAAUGUCGAGAUUCGAGAAGGAAUUGUGUGAAAAUGAUGAAAAAUUAGUCUCUAAGAUGUAUAAGUUGUUGCUUUUGGAGGAGACAAGAGAUGAAGUGGUUAAAACGACUAUGAUAAAAUGGGCUCAAGAUGUGGGUUAUAAUAUAGAUAUGGCAGCUUGGGAAAAAUUAUAGAAAACUGAUUUAAAGUUCACUGCAUGUUAUACUUUAAAAGAAAAUUAUUAUAAGAUGAUGUACAGAUGGUAUCUGACACCGAAAAAUUAGCAUUAAUAUAUAAAAAUGUUCCAAACAAAUAUUGGAAAUGUGGACAAUGUGAAGGAACUUUUUUUCAUUUGUGGUGGUCAUGCAGGAAGGAAAAGGCCUUUUGGGAUAUGACAUAUAAUGAGUUGAAGAAAAAUUUUAAAAUAACAUUUCCUACGAGGCCAGAAUCCUUCUUGCUGGGAAUAAUGCAAGGGGAGUUCUCCAGAAGAAACUUAACAUUUUUUAUGUAUGCAACCACAGCGGCUAGAAUAGUAUAUGUGCAGAAAUGGAAAGAUAAUAAAAUGCCCUCAAAAGAAGAUUGGUUGAUAAAAAUUUUGGAAAACGCUGAGAUGACAAAACUUACAGCACUCAUAAGGGAUGAAAAAUUGGAAUGUUUCAAAGAAGAUUGGGAACCAUUCUUACUUUACUUAAAGAACUGUUUUUCCAAUAUGGACCUUUCAGCAGGGUUUGAAAUUUAGUGACAACAGCAGGUUGGGCAGGGUAAAAUCGAAUUUUCAAAAUGGAGUAUAUAUGUUUUGAAUUAUUAUUGCAAUGGUAGAUUUGAAUAGCUAAUAUGAACCGUGCAGACUGGUAAGCGGGAAGUCAAUAUUUACUUAAUUAAAUAUAAUGGGAUUGUUAAGAUAUUGUAAAACUAAUAAAAUUUUAAAAUGCGAGCCUAGAGGAUUACCUGCCCAAAUAGCCACUAGCAAAAUAGCGGAAGAAGAAGGUGGCAGGGGGGUCUAUAAACCAGUGAAUGAUUCCUGCCAGCCUUUGUCUUGUAAUGAAUGUUGGCUCAUGAUGGGGUAUAUGUGCAUUCACUACACUAGUACUUGCUUUGACACCAGAAGGGAGGAGGAUACAUUAGUUUUGUUGGAAGUUAAAGGACUUUGCGCUGUCUCUUGUCUCAGACAGUGGUGGACAGACUAGUGAGUCAGAGGGCUAGAGGGUCAAGACAUUGGUCACCCCUUCUCCACUGCUCUGACACUAUUCCUUUGAAAUGUAGAUUGGUACUCUUAGGGAUUUAUUUCCUUCCUCUCUCUCUUCUCUACCUGCCCUUCUACCUUGCAACAUGGCAAGCUCCUCUCCCUGCACCAUGUGUGCAGAGAAGAUGCAGAAUCCAUCUGCAUCCAGCUAGAUAGAUAGAUUAGAGAUCUUAACUCCUCACUUUCCUAUCUAGAAUGGAGUUCCUUAAUAAAAGCCUUAUAUAUUGAUUUGAAACUAUGAAUUGGCUUCAAGUUCCUUUACUCUCAGCAUACACGCAUGCCUAAGCAAAUUCCACUGUGUUGUGCCUCUGUGCACUCUGCUAUAAUGAAAAAGGAAUUCUCUCACCACAGAGAAUUUCCAACAGGUUAUGGGAGCCCAGUAUUUUGAGCUGCGUGUACUGCAACUAGAGAGUUAGGUUUGUUCCAGGAGAUCCAGUGAGAUCUAGCGUGGACACUUUGAAUUGCUAAUCUACAGCAAUUGCCUUUUUUUGGAGCCAGUGAGGAUGGCUACUUACCUAGAGGGAAAGCUCAAGCUGACUAUCCUGAACAGACAACUAUUUGGAAUGGAAAACCUGAUUGAGGCUUGCACUGAAAGCAGAAGGACUCAAGAAAAUAACUGAGGAAGACCUGCCCGCAGAUGGAAGCACAGCUGCUGAGAAGACUGCUAAAGAAACAUGGGUGCUCAAAGAUGCUCAAGCUCAAGCUUUGAUCGCAGCUUCUGUGAGUAAAAAUUACCUUUACACCAUAUGUGAUCUUGAAACCUCAAGGGAAAUGCUAAGCAAGCUAGAUUCCUUGCAUAUGAAGAAGGGGUGGGCAUACACCUUUAACUUGAGAAAGAAAAUGCAGGAUGUGGGAUUUCUGGAUGUGGGAAAAUGCAGGAUGUGGGAUUUGUGGAAGAUUUCUUUUUUCAAUUUAAAGCGGCAGGGGAGGAAUUUAUAGAGAGUCAGAAGCUGGAAGCUCUGUUCCUAAGCAUGCCCCCCAGCUAUAGCAGUAUAAUCGGCCAAUUGGAAACCCACACCACUCUAAGCUUUGAGGAAGCAGUGCAAACAUUAUCUUCAGAGGCAAAUAGGAGGAAAGUUUUGAAUUCUCGCUAUGAAAGUGAAUUGGCAAGUAACUUUGCUCUUAAAGCAACAAUUGAUCAUUCCAGAGGAAACCCAAGGUGGGGAGGGAAUGCUGCAAGAGGAAAUCGCAUGGGGCCCCCACAAUUACAUACAAAGAGGUCUGGCUUCGGUGCCAAGGAAACUCAGUCCAGAGAGAGAGGUCACAUGACUGCCAGCAGGGAGACUGCUCCUGAAAUGAGGCCAACUGGGACUAAUGCCUUUAGAUGUUUUCUGUGUAACCAGUUUGGCCACAAGGUGGCGAACUGUCCCAAGAAUCAGACAAAGAAGAGUAACUUUACAGAAAGGUAUUCGAACAAGAGUUUUAACGUUUGCCUGAUGCAAAGCGAUGAAAAGUUCAUUUUUUUGGAUAGUGGUUCUAUGGUUCAUAUAUGAAAUAAUUUGGAUUUCUAUACUGAACUGUUUGAUAUUCCUGAAGAGACUGUUCAUUUGGGCAAUAAUACUACAAUUAAAGCCAAGAAGAAAGGCGAAGGAAUUUUGUAUUGUAAGUUACUGGAUGGAUCUGUUAAACCAUUUUUUCUUAAAGAUGUUUUGUAUAUCCCUGACUUCUCAAGCUCCUUGAUUUCAAUAUCCAAGCUAGAGAAACAAGGCUGUGAACUGUAUAUUAAAAAUGGACAAUGUGUUGUUACCCAGAAUGGAGAAGUUUGCCUUGUAGGCUCUAAAUGCAAAGGCCUAUACAGUGUGCAGGAGCAACCUGUAUCAAAGACAGACAGAGAAAGACAAGCCCAGUCUAAACCUGAGGCAUACCAGCCUAAUGAAGUGAACCUUGCUAAGUCAUGCCUGCAUGAAAACUGCUUGCAACUGUGGCAUAGACGCCUAGGACACAGGAGCUAUGAGUCAAUCCAGAACAUGAAGGAAAAGGGAUUAGCUAAUGGCAUUGAUUUUGUACCAUGUGACAUUGUAACUAACUGUGUUUGUUGUCUUGAGUCCAAAGCAGUUAAGCCAUUUCCUAAACAGAGUGAAAGGAAGACCAGAAGACCCCUGGAGCUGAUCCACAGCAAUAUAACUGGACCACUACCAGCUACUAUAGGUAAUCACAGAUUUUUUUCUCACAAUCACUGAUGAUUACACAAAAUAUUCAGUUGUGUUUCUACUAAAGGAGAAAUCACAGGUGCUUGAGAAACUCCAGGACUACGUGGCCAUGGCAAGCAACAAAUUUGGCUGGAAGCCAAAGAUCCUGUGCACAGACAAUGGAGGAGAAUAUAUGUCCAGCGCCACACAGCAGUUCCUGAGAGAACAUGGAAUCAUGCAUCAAACCAUGGUAGCUUCCAACGCAUCACAGAAUGAAGUGUCAUAAAAUAGAAGCCUCCUGGACAUGGUAAGAUGCAUGCUUGCUGACGCACACCUCCCACAGAAAAACUGGGGAGAAGGCAUCAUGACUGCUACAUACAUACAAAACAGAAUGCACACAAAGCCUAUAGGAACAACACCAUAUGAACUUUGGCAUGGUCAUAAGCCGUCCAUGAUGCAUCUGUGUGUCUUUGGAAGCACGGCUUACUCAUACAUCCCAAAGGAAAAUGGACUAAGUUAGGGGCUAGGGCCACAAAAGGGAUUUUUGUAGGCUACUCAGCACAAUCCAAAGGCUACAGAAUUCUGGAUCCUGACACCAAGAAGAUAACCAUAAGCAGAUCAGUGUAUUUUGAUGAGAAUGAAAGAGCUACACCUUCAGAGGGGGCUUACACCGUAGCAAGCAACCAGACCAAACACCCCAAUGACUGGAUUAUGCUUCCUGAUCUCAGAGGAAUUGAGGAGGAGGAGACAGCAGAUCCAGAUCCAACCACAGAGACCCCCAGCGAUCCACCAGAUGCACCUGAGAUAAUGAGAGAGACCACAGAGGGUGAGGUGAGGUGAUCAACACACGCAAACAGAGGUGUUCCAGCUCCGAAACUGUCCUACCUCACAAGAAUGGUGGAACAACCAGGACCUUCAUCAUCGGAGGAAAUAUCCCAGCUACCACAACCAGAAGCCCAGAAGUGGAAACAAGCUGCAAUUGAAGAGCUUGAGGUUCUACAGAAAAACAAAACCUGGACUCUUACUAAGUUACCUCAAGGAAGAAAAGUUAUAGGCUGCAAAUGGGUUUUCAAACUCAAACAUGAUGCUGAUGGUGAGAUUCAGCGCUACAAAGCCAGAUUAGUAGCAAAAGGAUAUUCACAGAAAUAUGGAGAAGAUUAUGAUGAAACAUUUACACCAGUGGUUAAACAUACCACAGUAAGGACUCUGUUAAGUAUUGCUGCUAGCAAAGGAAUGAAUGUUGAACACCUAGACAUGAAAACUGCAUUCCUGCAUGGUGAACUAGAAGAGGACAUUUACAUGCAACAACCACCAGGUUUCUUAGAGAAAGGCAAAGAGGACUAUGUAUGCAAACUGCAAAAGAGCAUUUAUGGUUUAAAACAGGCUGCCAGAGCAUGGAACAUAAAACUAAAUGAUAUGCUGCUUCAAGCAAACUUCAAAAGAAGCAAUGCAGAUCCCUGCCUAUACAUGAGGUGCAUAGAUGGCAAGUGGACCUAUAUUUUGGCGUAUGUUGAUGAUUUGAUUCUUGCCUAUGGAAAUCCAGAUGACAGCAAGGAAAUAGUGCAUCAUCUGAACAGAGAUGUGGAAGUCAAGCAACUUGGCAACAUUGCACACUACUUGGGCAUUCAAGUACAAAGAGAGAAAGAUGGAAGUUUCUUCAUCAACCAAGAACAGAAAAUUAAAGACUUGAUAAACCUGCUCAGACUGGAAAAUGCGAAUCCUACACCAACUCCAAUGGAAGUGAACUACAUAAAGUAAGAAGAUCAAAAUGUCGAGAUUCGAGAAGGAAUUGUGUGAAAAUGAUGAAAAAUUAGUCUCUAAGAUGUAUAAGUUGUUGCUUUUGGAGGAGACAAGAGAUGAAGUGGUUAAAACGACUAUGAUAAAAUGGGCUCAAGAUGUGGGUCAUAAUAUAGAUAUGGCAGCUUGGGAAAAAUUAUAGAAAAAUUAUAGAAAACUGAUUUAAAGUUCACUGCAUGUUAUAUUUUAAAAGAAAAUUAUUAUAAGAUGAUGUACAGGUGGUACUUGACACCGAAAAAAUUAGCAUUAAUGUAUAAAAAUGUUCCAGACGUUGGAAAUGUGGACAAUGUGAAGGAACCUUUUUUCAUUUGUGGUGGUCAUGCGGGAAGGAAAAGGCCUUUUGGGAUAUGACAUAUAAUGAGUUGAAGAAAAAUUUUUAAAUGACAUUUCCUAAGAGGCCAGAAUCCUUCUUGCUGGGAAUAAUGCAAGGAGAGUUCUCCAGAAGAAACUUAACAUUUUUUAUGUAUGUGAUAUAACCCAGGACCCCAAUUCCCAUAAAACUACAUUUAACACAGGACAACACUACAUACAGGCCCAAGGCCUGAACCUAAGCACAACCAUUUCGUGACCAAAUAUUGAACUCUUAGUUACCUUUAGAAUAUAGUUGGGCCCACAGGCCCUCCCUUCACUUCCUUUCUUCACACCAGAGCUGUCUCUGAACCUUUAGAAUGUAAAUUAAAAUUGCUAGUUUCACUCCUCCAAGGAGGCACAUCUUAGCCUUGGAAGAUAACAAUGUACAGAAGCCCUACGAGGCCCCAGCAUUCUCCUAUAACAAACCAGUUGACACUUGGGCGAGAGAAGGCCAAAGAACUAAACAAAAGGGGCAGGACAAACUGUGAAUUACAGAGUUCUGGAGACUGUUGUAUGUCAAUGCUGUGUCAAUUGCUUGAUGUUUUGAUGCAUAUGGAGAUUGAUCUAGUAUGCAAUUGCUAAAGUGUCUUCUUUCAAUAUAUUGCUAUGUCAUAGAUAUGUAGAACAAAGAACUUAGAAAUGUAUAAAUAGUUACUUGAAACUCUGAAAAACUUGCACUUGAUUUGGGCAGAUUGGUUUGCCCCAAGCUUGCCUACUUGUUGCAGAAGUAAAAUCUUUUACACUUUUCCUCUGUGUGGGAUCAAUUAUUGGCGUCAGAUACCACCCAGACAAAGAACUGGAUUUUCGGUAUAUCAAUUUGGUGCAUUGGCCGGGAAAGGGGGGAGUAGCCAAGCACCAGCCUCCCCAGUCUGGGAGCAGAGCUGCCAACCAAGGAGUCCACGGGACCCCGAAACCAGCGCGCACCAGUCAUCUUCACCGAGUUACGGACUCCCAUGGGUUUCCAACGUCCGCCGCUCGCUACGAACUGGUGACGCAAAAGGAAAAGUUGCAGCAAGAAGCAUUCUUAGCCCUGCCCUGGGAGUGUUGCCAGAGAAGGGAAUCUGGACUCUUCUAUCUACUUUCUUUGAGCAAAAACUCCACCUGAUUGAAAAUUCUGACCUGGAAAAGCCCUGUCUAAAUUUUUCUCACUUCCCCAAGUAACAGGUAACGGGUUGUCAGGACCUGGACUUACUGUGACCAGACUGAAACCCCCAGAAAACACAAAGAAAGUGGAAUUAGAGACAGAAGACAGCCAGGAUAGCCAAGAUCCUGCUAUGGAGGAAGAAGACAAUCCAGAACGCUAGAAGCAAAAUCCCAAUCUGGUCAGAGACUUUACACACACCACACCAAGAGUGGGUGGGAAGCCAAGAAAAUUUUGUAUAUUGUAAUGAAACUUAUAGCUAUGUAUGUUUGCUUAGUAUAUUGUCUGCUGUACCCAGUCUUCCAAAUCAUGGAAGCAAAAGGAAGGUGGGGACCUAAUGAGCUUGUUAAAUUGUAUCAAUCUGUUUUAGAAGAUUAUACCAGGAAUGAAUCCUGCUGGAUAUGUUCAUCCCUGAUACCCAAUCAAUCAGACCCCAACCAAUCAGGUAUCUCCAUGAUUCCAGUACCCAUUACCAAAGAGGACUGGAAGUCUGCCUCAUAUCUAAGAUUGGAAAGUAAAUAUAACUCAAAAUAACUCAAUAAUACCCAGUACCAGCUAAGGAAAAAGCCCUGGGGAGCUGAAGUGUGUUUUAACUUUACUAAUGGCCCUACCUAUUUAGGAGCCUGGCCCAGCUGUAACCAAAUAUUCACAUAUACACCACACCACCAAAAUAAAACAGACCAAGAGCUUAGAAAAUGCAACGAUCAGCUGCAAGCUAUCCCAGUAACAACAAGGCAUAGCACAAGCCUUUUUAAAUAUAUCAUCACUGAACUUACCACCUUUUAAAAAGGCUAUGAAGCAUUUACUUUACAGAUCCCUGGCCUUUACUGGCUGUGUGGAACCACUGGAUUCACGUGUAUACCUCCUAAGGCUUCAGGUCUUUGCACAAUGGGAUGGAUUUGGCCAGGGCGAUCCAUAUAAUAACUGAGGAAGCCAACAGACAUCCCGCACUCAAAGAAUCAUGCUCAGGACAGAGCCAGUCCAGCCAAAUAUACACCAUAACCAUCUCAGAGUAUGGAAACCCCACACCAGUAUAUGGGGCAACUAGGACAUGUGCAGAAAUACACACUAUGUAUCAAUUUAUAAAAGGAGUAUCUACAUCCUUAGAGAGAAUAGCGAAUGCAACAGCCAUAGAACAAGAGCUCCCUUUACAACGGAGUGGUUUGCAAAACAAACUGGCUUUAGACUCCAUUCUGCUUAGCCAGGAAGGUGCAUGUAAAUUCUUAAAUCAAACCUAUUGAAUGCAUGUAGAAAAUGGACACAUUGGAACCUCACGAGACAUCUUACGUAAAGACCAGAAAACCUACUCUCGCAAUACAGGGAGUGAAGGAAGCCUAUUGAACGUUUCUAAUAAUCUAUGUGAUAGUUUGCAUCUAUAUGUAAUUCGUUAAUUAAUUGCCUCUAUUGUACCUUGCUUCCUGAAUUGAAAAUGUUUCUUAGUUAGUUAGUUAAUAUUAUAAGCCAUAACCCACUUAUUGCCAGAUACCUCAUGAAAACAAUAGUAAAAAGCUGCUAAAAACAAAGAAGGAAACUACAGGUACUAGUCUAUGUGAAUUGCCAAAGGAUCAAGAAUAUGUUGAAGCAACGAAUUCCUGUAAGGAGGAAUUCUGGCUUCAAAGGGGGGGUCUGAUAUAACCCAGGACCCCAAUUCCCAUAAAACUACAUUUAACACAGGACAACACUACAUACAGGCCCAAGGCCUGAACCUAAGCACAACCAUUUCGUGACCAAAUAUUGAACUCUUAGUUACCUUUAGAAUAUAGUUGGGCCCACAGGCCCUCCCUUCACUUCCUUUCUUCACACCAGAGCUGUCUCUGAACCUUUAGAAUGUAAAUUAAAAUUGCUAGUUUCACUCCUCCAAGGAGGCACAUCUUAGCCUUGGAAGAUAACAAUGUACAGAGGCCCUACGAGGCCCCAGCAUUCUCCUAUAAUAAACCAGUUGACACUUGGGCGAGAGAAGGCCAAAGAACUAAACAAAAGGGGCAGGACAAACUGUGAAUUACAGAGUUCUGGAGACUGUUGUAUGUCAAUGCUGUGUCAAUUGCUUGAUGUUUUGAUGCAUAUGGAGAUUGAUCUAGUAUGCAAUUGCUAAAGUGUCUUCUUUCAAUAUAUUGCUAUGUCAUAGAUAUGUAGAACAAAGAACUUAGAAAUGUAUAAAUAGUUACUUGAAACUCUGAAAAACUUGCACUUGAUUUGGGCAGAUUGGUUUGCCCCCAGCUUGCCUACUUGCUGCAGAAGUAAAAUCUUUUACACUUUU
This is a long non-coding RNA of Hemicordylus capensis (graceful crag lizard), 19932 nucleotides long. RefSeq lists it as uncharacterized. The transcript has 2 exons. NCBI's taxonomy places the organism in Eukaryota, Metazoa, Chordata, Lepidosauria, Squamata, Cordylidae. The record is from RefSeq and is a predicted model, not a curated record.